CUAGCCGUAAACGAUGGGUACUAGGUGUGGGAGGUAUCGACCCCUUCCGUGCCGGAGUUAACGCAAUAAGUACCCCGCCUGGGGACUACGAUCGCAAGAUUGAAACUCAAAGGAAUUGACGGGGGCCCGCACAAGCGGUGGAGCAUGUGGUUUAAUUCGAAGCAACGCGCAGAACCUUACCAACCCUUGACAUCGGGAUCGCGGAUUACAGAGAUGUUUUCCUUCAGUUCGGCUGGAUCCCAGACAGGUGC
RNAcentral lists this ribosomal RNA (251 nucleotides) under uncultured bacterium. RNAcentral describes it as "partial 16S ribosomal RNA". It matches the Rfam family "Bacterial small subunit ribosomal RNA", at positions 796 to 1041 of the family's 1533-position model. The record is from RNAcentral.